UGGGGAAUAUUGCACAAUGGGCGAAAGCCUGAUGCAGCGACGCCGCGUGAGGGAUGGAGGCCUUCGGGUUGUAAACCUCUUUCAGUAAGGGUGAAGGCUCUCUUUUGUGGAGGGUUGACAGUACUUGCAGAAGAAGCGCCGGCUAACUACGUGCCAGCAGCCGCGGUAAUACGUAGGGCGCAAGCGUUAUCCGGAAUUAUUGGGCGUAAAGAGCUUGUAGGCGGUUCGUCGCGUCUGGUGUGAAAGCCCAUCGCUUAACGGUGGGUUUGCGCCGGGUACGGGCGGGCUAGAGUGCAGUAGGGGAGACUGGAAUUCCCGGUGUAACGGUGGAAUGUGUAGAUAUCGGGAAGAACACCAAUGGCGAAGGCAGGUCUCUGGGCUGUUACUGACGCUGAGAAGCGAAAGCGUGGGGAGCGAACAGG
This 422-nucleotide ribosomal RNA is filed under the name Verrucomicrobiota bacterium. RNAcentral's name for it is "Verrucomicrobia bacterium partial 16S ribosomal RNA". It matches the Rfam family "Bacterial small subunit ribosomal RNA", at positions 355 to 776 of the family's 1533-position model. Lineage: Bacteria; Pseudomonadati; Verrucomicrobiota. The record is from RNAcentral.